GACGAAGGGGGCUAGCGUUGUUCGGAAUUACUGGGCGUAAAGCGAGUGUAGGUGGUUGUCGUAGUCAGGCGUGAAAGCCUUGAGCUCAACUCAAGAAAUGCGCUUGAUACUGGGCGACUAGAGGACCGGAGAGGAUAGUGGAAUUCCCAGUGUAGUGGUGAAAUACGUAGAGAUUGGGAAGAACACCAGUGGCGAAGGCGGCUAUCUGGACGGUUUCUGACACUAAGACUCGAAAGCGUGGGGAGCGAACAGG
This 253-nucleotide ribosomal RNA is filed under the name uncultured bacterium. RNAcentral's name for it is "partial 16S ribosomal RNA". It matches the Rfam family "Bacterial small subunit ribosomal RNA", at positions 524 to 776 of the family's 1533-position model. The record is from RNAcentral.